RNAcentral lists this ribosomal RNA (301 nucleotides) under uncultured bacterium. RNAcentral's name for it is "partial 16S ribosomal RNA". It matches the Rfam family "Bacterial small subunit ribosomal RNA", at positions 509 to 809 of the family's 1533-position model. The record is from RNAcentral.
CAGCCGCCACGGUAAUACGUAGGGUGCGAGCGUUAAUCGGAAUUACUGGGCGUAAAGCGUGCGCAGGCGGUUGUGUAAGACAGGUGUGAAAUCCCCGGGCUUAACCUAGGAACUGCGCUUGUGACUGCACAGCUAGAGUAUGGCAGAGGGGGGUGGAAUUCCACGUGUAGCAGUGAUAUGCGUAGAGAUGUGGAGGAACACCGAUGGCGAAGGCAGCCCCCUGGGCCAAUACUGACGCUCAUGCACGAAAGCGUGGGGAGCAAACAGGAUUAGAUACCCCUGUAGUCCCUGUCUCUUAUAA